AACGAACGCUGGCGGCAGGCUUAACACAUGCAAGUCGAACGCCCCGCAAGGGGAGUGGCAGACGGGUGAGUAACGCGUGGGAACGUACCUUUCAGUUCGGAAUAACUCAGGGAAACUUGUGCUAAUACCGGAUACGCUCGCAAGAGGAAAGAUUUAUCGCUGAAAGAUCGGCCCGCGUUGGAUUAGCUAGUUGGUGGGGUAAUGGCCUACCAAGGCGACGAUCCAUAGCUGGUCUGAGAGGAUGAUCAGCCACAAUGGGACUGGAAAACGGCCAAAACUCCACGGGGGGGAGGCAUGGGGAAUUAUUGGACAAGGGGCGAAGGCCUGGCCCAUCCAGGCCGCGUGAGUGAUGAGGGCCUUAGGGUGUAAAGGCGCUUCAACCGAUAAAGUAAAGACGGUAGGUCGGAGAAGAGCCCCGGCUAACUUCGUGCCAGCCGCCGCAGUAA
RNAcentral lists this ribosomal RNA (446 nucleotides) under uncultured bacterium. RNAcentral describes it as "partial 16S ribosomal RNA". It matches the Rfam family "Bacterial small subunit ribosomal RNA", at positions 29 to 523 of the family's 1533-position model. The record is from RNAcentral.